Molecule: ribosomal RNA, 341 nt
Filed under: Cyphomyia notabilis
Lineage: Eukaryota; Metazoa; Arthropoda; Insecta; Diptera; Stratiomyidae
Description: partial 16S ribosomal RNA
Source: RNAcentral
UCUUUUAAUUGAAGGCUGGUAUGAAUGGUUGGAUGAGGUACAAGCUGUGUCAUAAAAAUUAAUUUUUGAAUUUACCUUUUUAGUCAAAAGGCUAAAAUAACAUUAAAAGACGAGAAGACCCUAUAGAGCUUUAUAUAAUUUAUAUUUAAAUUAUUAAGAUUUUUUAAAUUUAAUUAUGUUAUUAUAUUUUGUUGGGGUGACAAUAAAAUUUAUAAAACUUUUAUUUUUAUUAUACAUUUAUUUAUGAAUAUAUGAUCCAGUUUUAUUGAUUAUAAAUUUAAGUUACCUUAGGGAUAACAGCGUAAUUUUUUUUGAGAGUUCUUAUCGACAAAAAAGAUUGC